This 443-nucleotide ribosomal RNA is filed under the name uncultured bacterium. RNAcentral's name for it is "partial 16S ribosomal RNA". It matches the Rfam family "Bacterial small subunit ribosomal RNA", at positions 338 to 795 of the family's 1533-position model. The record is from RNAcentral.
CCUACGGGAGGCAGCAGUGGGGAAUAUUGGGCAAUGGGCGCAAGCCUGACCCAGCCACGCCGCGUGAAGGACGAAGGUUCCCGGCUUUUAAACUUCUUUUAUCAGAGACGAAGCAAGUGACGCUACCUGAUGAAUAAGCCACGUCUAACUACGUGCCAGAGGCCGCUGCAAUACGUAGGCGGCAAGCGUUCUCCGGAUUUACUGGUUGUAAAGGUCGUUUUGGCGGGAAAGCAAGUCAGAUGUGAAAACCAUGGGGUCAACCUGUGGCCUGCCGUUGAAACUGUUUUUCUGGAGUACUGGAGAGGCAGACGGAAUGCCUAGUGUAGCGGUGAAAUGCGUAGAUAUUAGGAGGAACACCAGUGGCGAAGGCGGACUGCUGGACAGCAACUGACGCUGAGGCGCGAAAGCGUGGGGAGCAAACAGGAUUAGAUACCCGUGUAGUC